UUCCUACGGGAGGCAGCAGUGGGGAAUAUUGCACAAUGGGGGAAACCCUGAUGCAGCAACGCCGCGUGAGUGAAGAAGUAUUUCGGUAUGUAAAGCUCUAUCAGCAGGGAAAAAAAUGACGGUACCUGAGUAAGAAGCCCCGGCUAACUACGUGCCAGCAGCCGCGGUAAUACGUAGGGGGCAAGCGUUAUCCGGAUUUACUGGGUGUAAAGGGAGCGUAGACAGCGAUGCAAGUCUGAAGUGAAAGCCCGGG
This 253-nucleotide ribosomal RNA is filed under the name uncultured bacterium. RNAcentral's name for it is "partial 16S ribosomal RNA". It matches the Rfam family "Bacterial small subunit ribosomal RNA", at positions 336 to 606 of the family's 1533-position model. The record is from RNAcentral.